UACGUAGGGCGCAAGCGUUGUCCGGAAUUAUUGGGCGUAAAGAGCUCGUAGGCGGUUUGUCGCGUCUGCUGUGAAAACCUAAGGCUCAACCUUGGGCUUGCAGUGGGUACGGGCAGACUAGAGUGCGGUAGGGGUGACUGGAAUUCCUGGUGUAGCGGUGGAAUGCGCAGAUAUCAGGAGGAACACCGCCGGCGAAGGCAGCUUACUGGGCCGAUACUGACGCUGAGGAGCGAAAGCGUGGGGAGCGAACAGG
This 253-nucleotide ribosomal RNA is filed under the name uncultured bacterium. Its description in RNAcentral is "partial 16S ribosomal RNA". It matches the Rfam family "Bacterial small subunit ribosomal RNA", at positions 524 to 776 of the family's 1533-position model. The record is from RNAcentral.